Small nuclear RNA from Kogia breviceps (pygmy sperm whale), 142 nucleotides. RefSeq annotates it as U4 spliceosomal RNA. Lineage: Eukaryota; Metazoa; Chordata; Mammalia; Artiodactyla; Physeteridae. The transcript has a single exon. The record is from RefSeq and is a predicted model, not a curated record.
AGCUUUGUGCAGUGGCAGUAUCGUAGCCAAUGAGGUUUAUCCGAGGCGCGAUUAUUGCUAAUCGAAAAUUUUUCCUAACACACCAUUGUAAAGCAAUUAUACUCCAAUAAAGAUGUUAAAAAAAUAUGGAAACACUCCACUG